This is a long non-coding RNA of Homo sapiens (human), 1338 nucleotides long. Ensembl annotates it as long intergenic non-protein coding RNA 2334. The record is from Ensembl. Lineage: Eukaryota; Metazoa; Chordata; Mammalia; Primates; Hominidae.
CCUGUUCGGCACACAGGAAAAAUGAGGUCGCACCAACAAACUGAAGGAUGGUAAAUGUUGAGGAUUUUAUUGCCAAUGAAAGCGGCUGUCACUGGGAGCUGAAAAGGUAAUGGAAAGCUGAAAAGCGGAUAAGGGAGAUGUUUCCUAUUAUCCUUGAUAAUGUGCCAUGAACAUAUGAAAAAACAUAGAAACAUGAAGAAAACAAGAAGACAAAAAUCACUAACAUCUGGUUGGCUGUAUAGAAACAAAGCUGAUUCUGGUCUCGCUCUAUACCCCAGGUUGGAGUGCAGUGGUAAGAUCACAGCUCACUGCUGCCUUGACUUCCUGGGCUCAAGUGAUUCUCCUGCCUCAGUCUCCUCAGUAGCUCGGACUACAGCUUGCAAAUGGAUCUUACAGACGUUGUCACAGAGACAAGAAAAGUAAGGCAUAUAAAAAAAUAAAUAAAGAUGAGCUCCUUUCAAGGUGACUGACUAGAAGCAGCUGGUGUGUGCUGCUCUCACAAAGAGAAGAAAGAGUGGUGAGUGGACCAUCCAGGUGGACACAUUGGGAUUCAUCAAGGAAACAAUACACAGAAAACAGAAGAAUGAGACAGGACAAUCAUUCACCCAGAAGUGGCAUAGAGCCGGGAGAUGGCCCUCACCAUGGUUAGUAAGUGAGAGUCCCCAGGGAGUCACAUUUCUGCCACAGACCUUUGCAACCCUGGGCCCAGGCGAUCCCCCAUGACACCCGUGCCCCACCAGGGCCUCUGGACUGACAUAGACAGCUACAUGGAGUGUGGGCAGAACUGCCACUCAGGCACUCAUGAAAUCCUUGGAGCUUUUCAUCCCCAGGCACCCUGGUACCAAUGGCUGCAGCUGCGGCAAUGGGGGAGGACAGGCUCUCUUGCAUGUCCUCAGAAUAGGAACACAAUCCAUGGGGCUAAGCAGUGGGUGGACUGUGGGGCUCUUCUACACAGCCCGUUGCCAGACUGGCCUGGGAUCCUAGCAUGGUCACAAAAGUCCCACCUGGGCUCUUGAGGAACAGAUCUGUACUUCCCUGGCAUGGAACUCCUGGAGGGGAUGGGCAGGCUGCUGUUUUUGCUGCUCCACAGCCCUCACUCCUGUUGCCCUCAGUCUUGGGAGUGAGCACAGUGAUUGGGGACUAACAUAGACCCCCAGCACAGUGUACAGACUUGCAGAAAAGCAGCCAGACUCUUUUCCACAUGGGUCCUCACCCCUGCUACUCUUCACUGGGCAGCACCUCUUGACCUUGGCCCCCAGCACAACCAACCCGCCCCCACAUGAACGCUUUGUCAGUGAUGGCUCUGUGUUUCUCUGAGGAGAAAAAUCCAAAAGACAA